AAAGGUCCUGAAAUAGAAAAACAUCCAUUAAUUUUUCCAUCAGUAAAACCGAAACGGGUCGUAGCACAAGUCUCACAGUAAACUGGGAUUAUAUACACAAAACAAAACGUUCUUUUUAAUAAAUGGUUGCUUGCCCACCAUUAACAACAACUAAUAAAACAAAUAUUGCAACAACAAUAAUAGUGAUAGUGAUAAUGUAAUAGUGACAUUUUGCAUAUUAAUUUCAGCUCUCAGUUCUAAAUGUACAACUUUUAUGUUUUCACAUUCUCCAUCAUGAACAUACCCAUUUUAAUGUCUAGUCAACACGUGUACAACAUACCCCGCUUACUUGCAAUAGUUUGCUUUUUGGUAUUAUCAUACUGUAUUUGUUAUUAUUAUUAUGUGUAACUGAUAUUUAUGCAUAUGAAUGGCCCAUCAUAAGAACCUGUUAAAUUAUCAUUAUCUAUAAGGAUGUGGAGGUUAAAGAUGCAGCUUUGUUACUUUUAGGUCACGAGUUCGAUUCCCUCCAUGGCUCAUGGGACAUUUAGCAGCAAGCACGUGAACCAUUCAAAUCAAACAGCUACCAGAGCACCGGGCAUAACUACCUGCUACAGAUUAUAAAAUCUUAUAUUGCUAAUGCAAUACUGCUACUUACAGACAGAGACACCAGCUCAUGCGCUUCUGAGCCCCUCUGCAGGCGUGUGGUUUCGUUUGACAGUAUGACAUUACAAUCGCAUACAUAACAGGAGAGCUGCAGGGCCGUGCACACACUUUGACACGAGUAAUUUAUUUAAAACACCGUGUGGUUUGGUUGUCGACUCGUACCCUCGCUUGGUUACCGCAGCAAAAGGCGGUGCUUGGCAUCUGCGUCGUCCGUGGAGAAAGCUGCCAGGACAGGAACUUUAACUGCACUCCCCUGCAGAUUAAAGACCCGACUGCUGCCCUCCUCCUCCUCCUCCUGGGGCAGUUUAAACCUCCGAGGAUUAGUGGUUACUGUGAACGGACAUGGCCGACACUUUAAGGAGACUGACCAAUACAUCUUCCUUCAGUGUCUUGCAGGACAAGCUGGAGAGCUGGCACAAAGACUACCAUGUGAUUUCCUGUGACCAGAAUCUAAACAGAUGUUGUGAACUGAUUGAACUCACUGCCAAGAUCCAGAGCCAACUGUUUGCCAUCCUCAACUUCACAGCUGCUGAAGGGGGACACUAUGCUGGAGUGGACACUCUCAAAACACGACUGUUACCGUGGCUGGGGAAUUGUUUCUCAAUGGCGAGGCCCUCGGUCACCGAUGACACCAGCCUGCAGCUCAUCCAGGACUCGGUGGAAAAGGAAAGAAGGAUCAGAGAGCUUUCCGUCUCCCAUGAGAGUGACAUGCAGAAGAUGGAGACUCAGCUGUGCUCCACCAGGGUACAGCUGGAUUCGGUCAGAGCAGAACUGAUCGAUGCUCAGAAGGAACUGGACGACACAAAGAGCAAAUCGGCAACCACCCUGCUGGCCACUGAAGAUGAAAUAUUACAACUCAGAGCAGAUUUGCGAUCCGCACGUGAAGAGGUGGAGAUUUAUAAAAGGAAGCUGGAUGCCCUUGAUGACUAUGAGCGACAGAUUCGCUUGCUCAGAGAGGAAGUGUCUUACCUGAGCACGGAGAAGGCCAUGCUGCAGGAGAGGUUGGUGAGAAGUCGCUCCCCUAGCCCUUUGCCCAGGCUCAGCCGCUCUUCCAGCCCUGUGAGGAGUGAGUCCCCCACCAGAGCUCAGCUCACUAACUCCUCACGCCACGCGCGCCUCGUAUCACGAUUCAGUGACCUGUACGCUGUGGAGCGCCUCGAGGCCCAGACCCUACUUCGACGAUACAUUGAUGACUUGGAGAUGGUCCAGAAAAUCAUCUUCAUCGCUGUCGUGGAAUCCUUCAAGACAGCAAAACUGGCUUAUCGUCAGUUCAAGCUGCGAGUGAGAAAGACGCUAUCUUCAUCCCACUUUGGACCAGAGAGUCUAGAGGAUGCAGCCGUGGACUAUAUCGUCAGAAACCUGGACCUCUAUGAUGUUCAGACCAGCGUCAAUGACGUGAUCAAUGCCAUGAAUGUCAACCCUCGGAUCUCGUUCCCACCAGAGGUUGACUUUGCCCUCAUCAGUCCCUUGAUCAGGGAGACGUGCAGGGUGGCCUUCGCUAUGCAGACUGUGGAGCCGCCACUUGACGUAGGCUUCGCAAGCGAUGGAGAACUAUACAAUGAGAGCAAAUACCGUCGUAGCUACGACUCUGAGUUCACAGCUCCUCUGGUGAUGUACCAUGUGUGGCCGGCACUGAUGGAAGGGACUGCUGUGACAGUGAAAGGCGAGGCCGUGACUAGAAGAGGCGCUGUGUGGGGUAGAAGCCAAAGCAGGAGCAGAAGUGUCAGCCCUGUGCGCUCUCGCUCUCUCAGUCCAUCUCGCAGUCUUGUAAGUCUCUAUCACACUUAACACUCCAACCGUCUUUUUGGUCAGCCCAUUAUCGCUGAGUGAUGCUGUAGAUUAAUUUAACUCUUUCCACCUAAUAACAUGCAUGCACACUCAUGGUCCCAAGGGCAUUUAACAGCAAAAGAAGCCUGUCUCCUCAGCGCCUCACAGCUAGUCUCCUGUGAACUCUGUCCUCACUGUCAAAGACAAGCAACAAUCUCCAUCUGUUUGUCAUCUGUGUGAAUUAAAGUCUAAGCUAAGUCUGAUUCCAGCAUUAUGGUUAUUCUUUAGCUUGCGCCAAGAGACCAAUGAAGUUACAUUACCAACCAAGGAGUUUACAUUUCAGACUCAUAGACAUGGACGUCAUGGGUGCAGCUGAAAUAACCUGGCAGCUUAACAGCCUUUUUUUUUUUUUUAAGUAUAUUAUAUUUACUCUGAUUUUGAUAGACACUAACAGUAUUUUAGUGACAUAUUCCAGAGAAGAAUCAGACGUACACACUUUCAUAGUGUGAGAUCUGAAAUUAGGAACCGCAUUCAACAAGUAGCCAUCUUUAUAUUUUUCACCAACAGUCUGUGUAGCAGGUGUGUUGGCUGUGGGACAUUAUGGUGCUAAAGAUCAGUGCUAACUUCAUAUCCUCCACUACUUGAAUUACAGAUAUUCAUCAAUAUUAUAUAGUGUUUGCUGUGUUGUUGUUUUUUCCCCCUAUUAUCAUUAUUAUUGGUGCUGUUACUGUUUUUUUAUUUGCAACACAAAUGAGUUGGCUCUAAAACAUUUUUUUUAAGUAACAUUUUUCCAAAUAAUAAAUUGUUUGAUGAAUUUUGAUGAGAUCAGGACCACUAGUGCAUUUUUUUUUCAGUAGCAAUGUUACAUUCACUGUGACAAUUAACUUUAUUUAUUUUUUCCCAUUUAUAAACCGGGUUAUGCAUAAAACUGCUGAUUUUGCAUCCAGUACCACUGUACUGUACCUGAUUUGCCCUUAUGGCUUGAAUGAUGAAUAUGACGAAUCUAAGUGGGUUUCAUUGUGAUUUGAUUUUUGUUCAAAAUUGUUUUUGUGUGAUAAUCUUUUUCUGUUUGUGCCUUUUAUGAUUGCAUUUUAAAGAAUAAACUGCAAGUCUGUAGUUUCCUGCAA
Mugil cephalus (flathead mullet) is the source of this 3536-nucleotide RNA transcript. It is a transcript of the gene named spermatogenesis associated 18, with no coding region annotated. The record is from RefSeq and is a predicted model, not a curated record. Lineage: Eukaryota; Metazoa; Chordata; Actinopteri; Mugiliformes; Mugilidae. The transcript has 12 exons.